GAUGAACGCUAGCUACAGGCUUAACACAUGCAAGUCGAGGGGAAACGACAUCGAAAGCUUGCUUUUGAUGGGCGUCGACCGGCGCACGGGUGAGUAACGCGUAUCCAACCUGCCCAUCACUUGGGAAUAACCUUGCGAAAGUAAGACUAAUACCCAAUGACAUCCCACGAAGACAUCUGAAUGGGAUUAAAGAUUUAUCGGUGAUGGAUGGGGAUGCGUCUGAUUAGCUUGUUGGCGGGGUAACGGCCCACCAAGGCAACGAUCAGUAGGGGUUCUGAGAGGAAGGUCCCCCACAUUGGAACUGAGACACGGUCCAAACUCCUACGGGAGGCAGCAGUGAGGAAUAUUGGUCAAUGGGCGAGAGCCUGAACCAGCCAAGUAGCGUGCAGGAUGACGGCCCUGUGGGUUGUAAACUGCUUUUAUAAGGGAAUAAAGUGGGUCUCGUGAGACUUUUUGCAUGUACCUUAUGAAUAAGGACCGGCUAAUUCCGUG
This 492-nucleotide ribosomal RNA is filed under the name uncultured bacterium. RNAcentral's name for it is "partial 16S ribosomal RNA". It matches the Rfam family "Bacterial small subunit ribosomal RNA", at positions 28 to 507 of the family's 1533-position model. The record is from RNAcentral.